GACGGAGCUCGCGUUUUCACACAAACCCCCCUUUUACAGAGAUGUACGUAAUGACCUCAUGUAUGCGAUUAACCCGCAAUCAAUACAACUUUCAACAACGGAUCUCUUGGUCUCUCGCAUCAGUAUGAAGAACGCAGCGAAAUGUCGAUACGCUANUGUGAAUUGAAGAAUUCNGUGAAUCAUCNAAUCUUUGAACGCACCUUGCGCCCCUUGGUAUUCCGAGGGGCACACCCGUUUGANUGUCGUGAAAACCUCAACCUCCUUGGUUUCUUCUGGAGACCAAAUCAUGCUUGGACUUUGGAGGCCUUUGCUGGCACCUCUCUUUUUGAAGGCCAGCUCCUCUUAAACNAAUUAAGCAGAGGAUACCUCUUUGCUGAUCCUCGACGUGUGAUAAGAUGUUUCCAUGUCUUGGUUUCUGGCUCUGUCACCUUUGGGACCUGCUUCUAACUGUCCGGACCUUGCGUCGAGACAACGUUCGAGCAUGUGCCUCCCUUCUUGGGAAGCUCCCUCGACCCCACGAACCCUUGACCUCAAAUCGGGUGAGACUACCCGCUGAACUUA
This 561-nucleotide ribosomal RNA is filed under the name uncultured Cenococcum. Its description in RNAcentral is "eukaryotic LSU rRNA". The stretch from base 87 to 245 matches the Rfam family "5.8S ribosomal RNA". The record is from RNAcentral. Lineage: Eukaryota; Fungi; Ascomycota; Dothideomycetes; Gloniales; Gloniaceae.